UACGGAGGGUGCAAGCGUUAUCCGGAUUCACUGGGGUUAAAGGGUGCGUAGGCGGGCAGGCAAGUCCGUGGUGAAAUCUCUGAGCUUAACUCAGAAACUGCCAUGGAUACUAUUUGUCUUGAAUGUUGUGGAGGUAAGCGGAAUAUGUCAUGUAGCGGUGAAAUGCUUAGAUAUGACAUAGAACACCAAUUGCGAAGGCAGCUUACUACACAAAUAUUGACGCUGAGGCACGAAAGCGUGGGGAUCAAACAGG
RNAcentral lists this ribosomal RNA (253 nucleotides) under uncultured bacterium. RNAcentral describes it as "partial 16S ribosomal RNA". It matches the Rfam family "Bacterial small subunit ribosomal RNA", at positions 524 to 776 of the family's 1533-position model. The record is from RNAcentral.